UGNGCUUGCAUUUGAGUUUACAUGCCUGG
RNAcentral lists this non-coding RNA (29 nucleotides) under Mus musculus (house mouse). The record is from RNAcentral. Lineage: Eukaryota; Metazoa; Chordata; Mammalia; Rodentia; Muridae.